GGAUAACCGUAGUAAUUCUAGGGCUAAUACAUGAGUAAAGUCCCGUAGGGAUGUGUUUAUUAGAAUGAAAACCAUAUGCUUCGGCAUGAUAGUGAGUAAUAGUAACCUAUCGUAUCGCAGCUAUAAGUAGCGAUGAUCUUUCAGUUUCUGCCCUAUCACUUUCGAUGGUACAUAUGGGUCUACCAUGGCAUAACGGGUACGAAAAUUGGUUCGAUUCCGGGAAGGGAGCUGAAGAGAUGGCUGCUACACUCCAGAAGCACAGCAAGCGCGUAAAUUACCCAAAUCUGACACAGGAGGAUGGUGACAACAUAUCACAAUGCG
RNAcentral lists this ribosomal RNA (321 nucleotides) under Blastocystis sp. Its description in RNAcentral is "SSU rRNA". It matches the Rfam family "Eukaryotic small subunit ribosomal RNA", at positions 141 to 487 of the family's 1831-position model. The record is from RNAcentral. Lineage: Eukaryota; Bigyra; Opalinata; Blastocystidae.